CUUAUUCCCCCAUCUUCACAUUCCCCAAAACAGUCGCACGGCACCCAUCAAAAACUCCAUCCCCAAUCUUUGGAUGUCCAUCCCCACCUACCUUCCAGUUCAACCCAAUGUCACAUGAUGCAAAAGCGAUAUGUUCUUUCAUAUCACCACCGUCUCCCCAAUAAGCAUGCCAGUUACUUGAGCCACUGCUAUGGAGAUGUUGUUGGAAGGCUUAGGGCUUUCUACCGGUUGUAAGGAAGAAUGCUUCGUUAGCCAUCCGGCUUCCGGCGAAACACCGGCGAAUGAAGUUGGGAAGGGGAAGAGAAAGCCGGUAGAUCCGGUUUUGAUGUAUCUUGAUUAUCCGUAGCGGAAGAGACAAAGAAAUAAAUACUAUAAGCUAUUCAAGAGGCUAAUGGCAAUAUUGUAAUUUCUGGAAACUUGAGUGGUUGUGUUGUUGGUGGCAUAUGCCACCGACAUUUCUCUUUAAUACUAUACUAGUAAUAUGACCCGUGCGCCGCAGGUCCAUUGUAAAUAUCAAAUUAAUUAGUCUAUGCGUCAUAUGAUGCGUUAAUCA
Helianthus annuus (common sunflower) is the source of this 553-nucleotide long non-coding RNA. RefSeq lists it as uncharacterized. Lineage: Eukaryota; Viridiplantae; Streptophyta; Magnoliopsida; Asterales; Asteraceae. The record is from RefSeq and is a predicted model, not a curated record. The transcript has 2 exons.